GAUCCCUCGCCGAAACUCCACCUCGAGAAAGCGAGCUCCGCCGCCCGCCACUCUGUUAGGCCUCCACCGCCGGGAAAGCGAGCUCCGCAGCUCCUACUCUGAACUCCACCUCGACGACGAGAAGCACGAGCCGCGUGGAACUGCAGCCGCUGCUGCAGAUCUUUUCCUCGCCAGCCUCUCCGCUGUCGGGCGACGAGACCACCACUCCCCUACGCGCGGCCUUGUCCACGAUCUCCUCACUCACCUCCUCCCCGCCGCGGAGAAAGCGAGCUCCGCCUCCCGUCUUUUCCAAGAGAAUAGACAAGAGGCUGUGAACUCGCCGACGAACAAGCAGCUAGCGAAGGAGGAGUCGCUUCAAGAAAUCUUCUUCCACACGCCCGCCUAGAUCCGUAGCGCACCAAGUUUAUCAUGGUUUUAAAAAGUUGGGCUGAUCGGGUAGUGAGCACUUACAUUUGCGGUUCCCUUAAUAUCAAGAAAAAGAAACCUCCGGAUCAAGAGCAGAAUGUCCUGAUAUUUGGAAUGGAUCGCAUAGGAAAUAGACAUCCCUACCAAGGGGAGUCAUCAG
Molecule: long non-coding RNA, 565 nt
Organism: Lolium rigidum
Lineage: Eukaryota; Viridiplantae; Streptophyta; Magnoliopsida; Poales; Poaceae
Exons: 4
Source: RefSeq, a predicted model, not a curated record